Siniperca chuatsi (mandarin fish) is the source of this 4702-nucleotide long non-coding RNA. RefSeq lists it as uncharacterized. Lineage: Eukaryota; Metazoa; Chordata; Actinopteri; Centrarchiformes; Sinipercidae. The transcript is spliced from 3 exons. The record is from RefSeq and is a predicted model, not a curated record.
GCUUGGUUCAACAUCAGCUGUCAGUGAGCAUCAGACUAAAACCGCUCACAGCAUCCACUGGGAAGAGGUCAAAAGUCAUUGACCAGGAGUCAGUGGAUGGCUGGAGAAAGGAGGGCUUUCACAUCUGAUGCCAGAGACUAUCUUUGAACAGAGGCAGAGGGUACCAUCUCCCCCAUGUACAACUACCUGUUAUGAUGUGAGCAAAGCUCCAUGCUUACAGUAAGUCUAAACCAUGUACAUGACAACUUUUAAAUCUAAAUUCUAAAUCUUGCUUUCCACGUAAUUAAAAAAGCACACAACAGAUGGUCAUUUUGGUGUAAUCUAAGGUACAGUAAAUAGGCCAAUCAAGUUUUUAGUCCAAUCUUUUUAUGACCAGCAGAUGGGGCUGUUGCAUUAAGCAACAAACAUGCCGACAACUGUCCAGCUGUUGUGUUAUUUUGAGUCAGGGCAGCAGGGCAAAUUUGAUAUCCAAUGCUGCAAUUUAAUUUACUGAAAGAUUAUAUAAAUGCUAGAUUCACACAACCCCUCCUACCAUCCCAGACAAGCUGCUUUUGUAUGUAUUGUAGGUUUAAACAUGGAUCUUUUUAAAGGUAUUUUUCCUUUAUUUGAUACAUGACAGUAUGUAGAUAGACAAACAGGAAAUGUCGGGACAACGCGAGGGGGGAUGACAUGCAACAAAGGUUACCAGUCAGAAUCAAACCAGGGACAUUGUGAUUACACAUGCACCUUAGACAUCUAGGCUAUUCACCUUAAAGAUGAAAUAUUCUCUUGGUGGGACAGCUAGAGAUUGUUACGUAGAACGUGAGGCGGAAAUGGAGUCAGAGGAGGAAUCAGAGCGCGAAAUUAGAAACGAGGAUUCGAGAGGAUUUGAAAAUAAAAAGAAAAGGAAGAAGAGUAACUCAAGUGAAUCCGGUCAGAAAGAGGAAAAGUAUCUUGUUGGGAUGAUAGCUGUGACACAAACAGACGGCAUUUUCAAGAAUCCACAUGAGGUCGGAAAGUUUGUAGGAGGAAAGCUCGGAGAUGUCAGAUAACAGGAUAACAAGAAGUGGGAUGGUUAUCAUUGAAUGUGUGUCAAGCGUCAGAGAGAUAAAGCCCUGAAGAUUCAUGCAUUUGGAGAUUAUAGCAGUGUGGACUGCUUCCCACUCGGACCAGAAGUAAAAAAGAAGGGAGUAGUAAGCGGCGUGCCACUGUCGGUGGAGGCCGAGUCAUUUCGGGAGGUUGAAGGUGUGUGUGAGGCAAGAAGGGUGACAAGAUUCAAAAAUGGGGAGAAGGAGGACAGUAACUCAGUGUGUUUGACUUUUGAGGGGGAAUUCCCAGAGAGAGAUUAUGUGUGCUACAGGGUGAGGCCGUAUAAGAGAGCGCCUCUCAGAUGUUUCUGCUGUCAGGAAUAUGGACAUGUUGCGGCAGUAUGUAGAGGAGGCAGAAGAUGUGGGAGAUGUGGGAAGGACAAUUGUAAUGUGGAGAAGUGUAAAGUGGAGAAAGAGCAAGCAAAGUGCCUGCACUGCGAGGGAAACCACUAUACGGGAUCAGCACAAUGUCCAAAAAGAAUUAAGGAAAUGAAAAUGAAUAAGAUCAGAGCGGAAAAGGGAUUGUCAUAUGCGGAAGCUGUUAAGAGUAUGGAGAGAAACGGUGAAAGGGUGGUAGUUCAAAAGGAAAAGGAGAAGAAAGGAAAUGGAGCAAAACAUCAGUAUGGACAAGAAGCGAUUUCUGGCAUUUAUUGCCAUGGUUAUAAACUGUGCGGCUAAAAUGAAGGGGAAGUCAGAAAGGAUUAAGAUGGUGCUGGAUGCGGCAAGAAGAUUCUUGAAUGUUGUGGACAUAUCUGGAGAGGAUCUGGAUGUUACACUGAGGGAAGGAGUUGCACCAACUCAGACAAUGGGGUCUGGGUUAUAGAAUUGACUAUGGCAUGGGAUCACGUUGGGUGGACACUGUUAAAAGUUUAAACUGUGAAGCUGUUAAAAUUCAGUAGGUGGCGGUAAUGCGUAAUUAGGGACGCCAACUGCCAUAAAACACAACAGAAGAAGAAGAAGAAGAAGAAAUAUUCUCUCAUUUCUUAUUCUUUUAGUUUAUUUUUUAAUAUUUGUAUUGGUUUUUGUAUCUUCCCUCAGUUUCUCGCCAUCCCCUCUGCCCUUACACACAGAAACACAUACAGAGUCAUGAUUGACACAGACACUCCCACAUACAACUAUACUCAUUUGCAGUGCAAAGAGAAUAUCUAACUAACUACUCUUAAUUCAAUACCUCCCAAUAACUUACUAAAAUGUUUUUUUCCCCUGUCUUUCUUUUUGGCUUGUUUCUUAUCUUGUUUACCUCCAGCAUGGACAAUGUGCACUUAUGUUUUCUUCACUUGUCUUCUGUUUGGGUCAUGUAGCCUAUGGGUCAAAAAAAAGAACAUUUGAAAAUUUUGAAUCAGAAUAAAACCCUGCACAGUAUUAGAUAUUUGUGGUCCCCAGAUUAUGAGGUUUAAUGUUUUUGUUUACCCUCUGACCAUGUAUCUAGUGCCACCUCAGAACAGCCCCACUCAGAUAUGAGCUUAGCAAAACUGUCGGUAUGUUGUUUGUUCUAAUAUUGUUGGGUGUAGUAAACAUUACAGCUUCUUUGGGACACUAGUGAGACUUUAGUUUUGUUAUUUUCACAAACUUUAACACCUGUCAUUAGUCAGAAGUGCUUACCAUGAGCUUACCCACUGAGAAGACAUGCAACCCAUUCUAGAGGAAACCAUGUUCCUACAGCUCGGGGAAACAAAGAGGUGCUGGAACACCUUCACACUGAUAAUCCAGGUCCUUUAUAUCAGGCACCAGGGAUGACACGAGAAAGACCCUGAAUGUCCCAGCUGUCCACUUUUUAUGAGACUGUAAAGAAAUGAGGACUGCAGAAAAUUAAAAAUGUUGUCUUUCUUUCCCUCUCCCUGUGAUAGUCAGCCACCUUAUCCUCCCCAUCCCUGUGAGCUCUUUUGUUCUCUCCUCUCCUUGUGAUUCUUGUGUGUCCUCGGCUCGUCUCUAGAUGUGUAUGUGUGUGUGUAUGUCUUCUGGUCUGGCUCCGUGGUUUCCCGCCUACUGCUGAUCACCGGCUCACCUGUCUUCAAUCAACCAAAAGUCUCCACAGCUUAAAUACCAGGCUCACCCACACCACCAGCGCCAAAUCGACUCCGUACACUUGUACGACCAUUAAGGCAAGGCAAGGCGCAUCGCUUAAAGAAAAUGUCGGCUGAACUGGUGGUCUAUCGGAACUCCUGCUCGUCCUCUAUCUCCGCUUGCCUGCACACCUCCACCGCCUCCGACAUCUACUGUUCUGCGCGAACAUCUGUCAUCUCAGCCAUCCUGGUCACCUCCAUCAUCCCUGCAGUCCUGGGUACUUAUCUCAACACCACCACCUCCUCCUCUAUCUCCGCCUCCUCCAUCUCUGUCGGUCCGUACACCUCCAUCAUCUCCACCUCCUAUCGACUUACAAGAGGCAAGCGGAGACGUGGUUAGUGACCAGACGGACAGUGUCGGCGGUUUUCAUAGAUGGUGUUGUCUUUCAUCUUCUCAAUACUGUUUUGUACAAGCAUUGGAAGGAGUUCUGCUACGGCUGUCAGAUUAAUCACCCCAGCCAGAAACAUUGCGAGUGCGUGUUGGAGAUCCCUGAAUGGUUUUAUGACACUUUGAUCAGCUUAUGAAAAGACUCUGGACCAACAGGUUUAUUCCAUCCAUCCAGCGCUUCUUGAGUUCAAAUUACAUCCAUGUCGAUGAAGCCAUAGUCCAAGGUAUUGGAGAGACUGUUCUACAUUCUACGGUUCUUGGAUAAGAUCAAAGAAAUGUAUGACACCAUGAUCGGUGAGGACUUUGAGGAAAUUGUAACCAUACCCUAUAAUUUUUUUUCUUUUGUGUCAUGGGAAAUUGUUUGAGAGGUCUGUUUAGGGCCAUCAGGGUGCAGUACAUUGUGAGCUAACUGCCCUUCUAGAUCAGGCAAUUGAUAAGCAAGGUCACAAAGUACAAAAGCCAUGUCAAUCCGUCUGAUGUUUGUAGAUUAGAAAAAUUGAUGGAUGUAGUAAGAGCUCAGUCUUGUGCAAUCUUGUGGAAGAGGUGGUGCAACUGACACAACAACACAACAAUGAUUCAAAACUACAAAAACAACUACUAAACAAAAGUGUUGGAGAUUUUUUGUGCUGUAAUUAGGCAUACCAUAAAUUAUUUCAAUGUGAUAAAAGCGCAACACAUGCUUAUACUGUACACAUUGUUUGUAGAUGCCAUAAAUAUGUAUGUUCAAGAACAGCAAUGUGUUACAUUUAGUGUCAAGCAGACGGAAAUAUGGAAUGGGACCCAAACGCAGACUACAAGGCAGAGUAGGUGCAGAUAAAUCGUUUAAUGGUGUUCACAAUGCUUACAGGGGUCAUCAGGCAGGCAGAGAUCAGCAAACCAGGACAGCAGUCUGAACAGUCAAAUAAUUCCAAGAAGGGAGAAGACAAAAUCCAAAGACACACAACGAGUCCUAGAAAACACGAGGAACAAAGGCUGAGACACUUGACACCAGGUUCAACAAUGAUCUGACACAGAACAAAGGAAGACACACACGUGCAGAAGUACACACAGCUAGGGGAGCCAAGACACAGUUGAAACUGAUCAAGACACAGGUGAAAACAAUCAACGCAAUCAACUAAAAAAAUGACAACUAAAACACAUGAGGGAAGGAGACUAUUUCAAAAUAAAACUGUCAUGGUUUUGGG